UAUUUUAAAAAUAAUUGAGUAUUUCUAAAGC
This 31-nucleotide non-coding RNA is filed under the name Rattus norvegicus (Norway rat). The record is from RNAcentral. Lineage: Eukaryota; Metazoa; Chordata; Mammalia; Rodentia; Muridae.